UUUCCUUAAAGUUGUUUUCUUUUCCUUUUUUUAAGUUCAGCCUUUAAUUUUAUUUCAAUUUUCUUUUUCAGGAAAUAUAACCAAGAAGAGUUCUGAGAGAAUACCCUCAUUUGUCCUCUUGGGAUUAAACAAGACUACUGUAUUUUAACUGAGCUUGGCAAAGCCAGGAUAUGAACUGUGCAGGUGGGCUCCUCAGGGUGAGUGAAGAGAUAAGGGAUCCAGUCAGGGACUGGCCACCUGCAGCCCUGCCAGUAUGCCCCUCCACCAGAUUUCCGUAAUCCCCGCCCGGGAGAUGGCCGGCAAUGGGAGAAGUUCCAUGGGAAGAAACAAAGAGAAGAGCAAGGAAGUCGAGGACUUCAGAAAUUGAAAAGGUAUAAGAGGAAGGAGAAAAUGCUGGGCUGGUGUGAAGCAAUAGCCUGUAAUCCUCGCAGGAUUCCUACCACCACUAGGACCCCAGAGGGCUCAGAAGAGUGGGCUGAUACCUCGCAAGCCUCCACACUGGUGAGUGUAGCAAUGGUACCUUGAAUGGCUCGGGUGAAUGGAUGC
This 546-nucleotide long non-coding RNA is filed under the name Capra hircus (goat). RNAcentral's name for it is "lncRNA (ENSCHIG00000007217.1)". The record is from RNAcentral. Lineage: Eukaryota; Metazoa; Chordata; Mammalia; Artiodactyla; Bovidae.